UUUUUUUAUCUGGGAAGAUACUCCUUUUUGUUCUUUGUCUGAAACCUUCAACAAUUUUCCAAUCUGAGAAAAUAAUCUUUGUCGGCCGAUCGACGAAGCUGUAUCGAAAUCCAUCCGAAAUCCACUUCCAUCGUCUUCGCUUAUACAUCAAUUCUUUGCAAAUUAUAAGAUCUUAAAAGAGAUUAGUAGCCAUAUUUCGAUGGUUUCUCAAAAGAAGAAGAAUAACGAAGAUAAGUUUUUUUAUCCAGAUUAUUGUAUAACUUGAGCACUUUAUUGCAAAAUGCUCCUGCUUCAUUAUUCUUUAGCUGAAUGUUAGAUUCAUGAUACAAAGUUCAAUGUUUGCAGGCGAAGUACAAUUUUGCGCACAUAAUUCUUAUGGAGCUGAAGCAGUAACAGUUCAAUUUGGAGCAUUCUUGAAAUAUAAUUUGACAAAUGAUCGGUUUGAAGUUGGAUUCUUAAGGAGGGAAGAGAUUUGGUGUAGUAAUUGGAGGUUUUCAGAGAUCUAUAUUUAAAAGGUUAGUAAGAUAUUAAACAUAACACUUUUGAUUAGGUGAUAACAAUAUAGACCUACUCUAUUGAUUUCCAAAUUUGGUUGAAUAAGUGUAGAUAAAAUACUUACAAAUUAAUUAUGU
Arabidopsis lyrata subsp. lyrata is the source of this 632-nucleotide long non-coding RNA. RefSeq lists it as uncharacterized. Lineage: Eukaryota; Viridiplantae; Streptophyta; Magnoliopsida; Brassicales; Brassicaceae. The record is from RefSeq and is a predicted model, not a curated record. The transcript has 3 exons.